GUCUACGGCCAUACCACCUUGAACGUGCCUGGUCUCAUCUGAUCCCAGAAGCUAAGCAGAAGCUAAGCAGGGUCGGGCCUGGUUAGUACUUGGAUGAGAGACUAAUUUCUGUCCAGGGGUAAAUUGGUCUUAGAAU
This 136-nucleotide ribosomal RNA is filed under the name Heterocephalus glaber (naked mole-rat). Lineage: Eukaryota; Metazoa; Chordata; Mammalia; Rodentia; Bathyergidae. The record is from RNAcentral.